RNAcentral lists this ribosomal RNA (276 nucleotides) under uncultured bacterium. RNAcentral describes it as "partial 16S ribosomal RNA". It matches the Rfam family "Bacterial small subunit ribosomal RNA", at positions 335 to 608 of the family's 1533-position model. The record is from RNAcentral.
ACUCCUACGGGAGGCAGCAGUGGGAAUAUUGCGCAAUGGGCGAAAGCCUGACGCAGCCAUGCCGCGUGUGUGAAGAAGGCCUUCGGGUUGUAAAGCACUUUCAAUUGGAGAAAGCUGCUGCCUAAUAAGCAUCAGCUGUGACAUUACCUUAGAAGAAGCACCGGCUAACUCCGUGCCAGCAGCCGCGGUAAUACGGAGGGUGCGAGCGUUAAUCGGAAUUACUGGGCGUAAAGCGCGCGUAGGCGGUUUGCUAAGUCAGCUGUGAAAGCCCGGCUC